Oryctolagus cuniculus (rabbit) is the source of this 924-nucleotide non-coding RNA. Lineage: Eukaryota; Metazoa; Chordata; Mammalia; Lagomorpha; Leporidae. The record is from RefSeq and is a predicted model, not a curated record.
GGGAAUGGAAGCUCCAUGUUCUAUGCAUUAAUGCAUCAAAUAUGCCAACAUUAAAAUGAAGUAUAAUUUCCUGAGGGAUAUCUUAAGUUGAAAAUUACAUGCUGAUCACUAAAGAAACCAAAGGUUUCCCCUUUGGUGCUCAGUUAGUUGUCGCUGGCACCUUCUUAUCCUAAGAUGCCACCCUGCUCCACCUUACAAGAUAUGUUUAGAUAUCUCCAAGCUUCCUGAUAACACAUCCUGCAAGUUAGCAGAUAAUGACCCAAGAACUUCUGCCCCCUGUCAAGCACAUGGGAAACCCAGGUGCGGUUCAAGGAUCCUGGCUUCAACCUGGCUCAUCCCUGGCUAUAACCUGGAUGAUGUGGACAUUUUACAGAGUAAACCAUGUCCUAUAUUCUGAGUAGUCACAGAACAGCAGCCAAGUGGAAAUGACAGUGACUGACAAUUACAGAAAAACAUAAAAUGGCUUCCAGAAGCUCACAGAGACCCGUGGACCUCAAUCAACUGAACUAGAAAUCCAUUACACAACUUAAUUUUGUGUAUCCAACUGUGAGAUAUAUUUACCACUCUACUGACAAGAACUAUAGAUAAUAAAUGCAGCCUGUAAUACAGCUCACCAUGUGGUUCUACAAUCUGCUGUACUUCCCUGGGAUGCAGCAUAAUUAAAUGGCUGGGGUCAUGGACCUUCUCAGGAUUCAUGUUUUGAUACUUCAUAAAGAAAGAAGCUCAUUGAUGUAACUGUGUUGCACUGUGUUAAUGAGAUCCAGAAAAUAGGCUAUUAAUUGUCUCAUCUAAUCAAUGUUUUCUUGCUAUACCCUUUCUUUAUCUAAAUUAUGCCUUUCAAUGACUUUUUAUUAUAUUGCCAACAAUAUCCUGUUAUCAGCAAUAUGCUAUACUUGUUAAACCUAAUUUUAUAAAAAAGGCCAA